This 441-nucleotide ribosomal RNA is filed under the name uncultured bacterium. RNAcentral's name for it is "partial 16S ribosomal RNA". It matches the Rfam family "Bacterial small subunit ribosomal RNA", at positions 338 to 795 of the family's 1533-position model. The record is from RNAcentral.
CCUACGGGAGACAGCAGUGGGGAAUAUUGCACAAUGGGGGGAACCCUGAUGCAGCGACGCCGCGUGGGUGAAGGAGUAUUUCGGUAUGUAAAGCCCUAUCAGCAGGGAAGAACAAUGACGGUACCUGACUAAGAAGCACCGGCUAAAUACGUGCCAGCAGCCGCGGUAAUACGUAUGGUGCAAGCGUUAUCCGGAUUUACUGGGUGUAAAGGGAGCGCAGGCGGCGCGUUAAGCCUGGUGUGAAAGUCCGCGGCCCAACCGCGGGACUGCAUUGGGAACUGGCGCGCUGGAGUGCCGGAGGGGUAGGCGGAAUUCCUAGUGUAGCGGUGAAAUGCGUAGAUAUUAGGAGGAACACCAGUGGCGAAGGCGGGCUACUGGACGGUGACUGACGCUGAGGCUCGAAGGCGUGGGUAUCAAACAGGAUGAGAUACCCCGGUAGUC